RNAcentral lists this long non-coding RNA (2430 nucleotides) under Rattus norvegicus (Norway rat). Its description in RNAcentral is "long non-coding RNA NONRATT012959". Lineage: Eukaryota; Metazoa; Chordata; Mammalia; Rodentia; Muridae. The record is from RNAcentral.
AAAAGAGAGAUGCCAUGAAAACACUAAGGAGUAAGAGUAAAUAUAUAAAGGUAUAAAGAAGACGUAAAGACAGUUCAUGAGAUCACUCGCUCAGCGUGCACAGGCUCCUUGGAAGGGUAGAGAUGACACACACUGCCUAGGAAAACAGACGCUGUUUUAGAGAAAAAUCCUGAGUACAAAAGGAGAGAGAACACUCUAAACACAAUAGAACUUGGAAAGAGAAUUGCUAUAAGCAAUGACUGAGAUGGAGCCUGAGGUCAGCUUUUGUGGCGCAAGUCAGAUUCGCCCUUUCUCAGGCAUAGAGUCUCCUCAGCUGAGCUACAAAGUUUGCUCCAACCUACACAUGAUCAAAAGGACCACAUGCUAUAGAAAUGGUAAUGUUCCGUCCCCGUGUGUUUACAUUCAUUUAUCCACCAGUGCCUACCCCUUUGUAUUUAUCACAUGUGCUAACACUUGCUGGUCCAGUACAGUCGGGACUGAAGAGAUGACACAGUUGGGAAAGGGUUUGUUGUAUACAUAUGAGAACCAAGUUACUCCUCAGCAUCCAUGUAGAGAGGCAGGCUUGGUAGAGCUUGUCAUUCCAGUGCUAGAGAGAGGAAGACAGGCAGGUCUCUGGGGCUUGCUGGCUAGCCAGGCUAGUCUAACCAAUGGGUUCCAGCCAGUGAGAUCCAGUCUCAGAACAAGGUGGCCAUCUCUUGAGGAAGGCACCUGAACAGACCUCAGAAUUCAUGAACAUACUACAAAGUAGGCAAUUUUGUAUAAUUGCCCUAGUACACAGCCCCACACCCCUUGCAUAAUUUUAGGGGUGAUACACACUCAAGCGGGAAAAGAACGCAUUUCAUAUCUGCAAGAAAGUAACUAGCAAAAGCAACCGAGUGAAGGAAGGGUUUGUUAUAGCUCACAGUUAGGGGAACCAGACAAUUUUGUUGGGGAAGGCAGGAUAAUAGAGUAGCGGAUGGCCAGACACAUCGUGCCCCAGUCAUCCCAAAGAGAGAUGAAUGUUUGUGUUUUGCUGGCUUUCUCUUUCCAUUCAAUUUAGGACCCCAGCCCAUAGGACGGUGUCUGCACAUUCAAGAUGUGUCUCCUUGCUUGGAUAAACCUUUCUGGAAGUAUUUUCAUACUUUCAUACCAAUAACUGCCAUUAGUUAUUGGUAGUGUCUUUUACUCAGGUAGUAAAUAAUGCCCCCAAAUCAAGAAUUGGCUCUCACAUCUUGAACGCGGCAGUUUAUGACAAAGAAGAAAAUUUUUAUCAGCAAUGGAUAAACACUACAUUUAAGGGAUGUUCACACAUGUGCCUGUUGUACGUUAAUGCAUAGACUGACUCAAAACUACUUCACUGGGGCUGGUGGUGUGGCCUAGUAGUAUAGCAUGUACUUCCAGGGCAUAAGAUCCCUAGCUCCACCCCCAACAUGCUUUCAAAUUCUUCCCAUCCACACUCCCUGCAAGGAGAACCAAGGAAAACCAAGAAUGGGCUCUGUAUGGGAAAGAAAGCCUAACAAAAGGCAAAGGGAGUCCCAGCAUAGUAGGCACAGGAGGGGAAAGUUAUAAGACUCCAGCAGCAUGAAGGAAGCAAGCUAGAGAAGAGAAGGUGGGCUGGGAGGGAAGUGGGAGAGACUAGAAGAAACUGGGAGAGAAGAGAUGCUGCUGAUAAGAAGUUAUAAAUGACUCUUGUGUUCUUUGGUAGAUCUAUCGCCUGGGUAGCUUCAGGAUGAUCGAUAUUUUCAGGUUUUCAGAGAGCUAUUGGCAUCAUCUACUUCCCAAACACAGGCUGUCUCGUGAACUGAAAUAACUUUGAUUCUGCUGUGAAAUGUGUCAAAUUAAUGAGGCCUGGGAGUUCUAAUAGUUCGAUAGAUCUUUGAUUGACGGGUCAUGAGAACACUAGUUAAUAAUCUUAGAAAGAAAAUACUUUAAAAUCUAUAGAGAAUAAGAAUCUUUGUCUUCAAAAUAAUCACAGCAAAAAGCCAUGAGAAAGCAUCCUUUUAGAAUUUGAAAGACAUUGUUUUAAUGUUUAAAAUAGACAAGUAAGCUGCCUGUGGUUUUUUUCUAUUUGUUUGUUUCAGAUGUACUAAUGUGUCUCUAAGGAACUGUAAUUGUUACCCAGAGUUUUCCUUUGCAUGUUGUUUUUCCUUCACCUGCUGACAGGACAGUCAAGUGCAGUCUCUGACCGUCACCUACCUCUUGAUUUUGACCUCAGAAUCAACGCCUAACUCUAAUCAAUGAGAGACAGAUGUAUCUCCUCAUUAAAAUCAGCAACAUGAAUGGUAGAUUAUUCUUGUUUACAGCACACUAGGAAAAAUAUAAGUGCUUAGAAAUUAGACUUUGUGAUUUAUACUACAGAGCAAAUUAUUCAGUUACUAUUAAAAUAAUGUUUAUUCAAAUAUUUGUUCAGAUGUAUAUGAUGGACAAAUAAAAGAUUAUUUUAAAAUAGAA